RNAcentral lists this ribosomal RNA (230 nucleotides) under uncultured bacterium. RNAcentral describes it as "partial 16S ribosomal RNA". It matches the Rfam family "Bacterial small subunit ribosomal RNA", at positions 561 to 790 of the family's 1533-position model. The record is from RNAcentral.
UAAAGCGUGCGCAGGCGGUUUUGUAAGACUGUCGUGAAAUCCCCGGGCUCAACCUGGGAAUGGCGAUGGUGACUGCAAGGCUAGAGUUUGGCAGAGGGGGGUAGAAUUCCACGUGUAGCAGUGAAAUGCGUAGAUAUGUGGAGGAACACCGAUGGCGAAGGCAGCCCCCUGGGUCAAAACUGACGCUCAUGCACGAAAGCGUGGGGAGCAAACAGGAUUAGAACCCCAGU